Molecule: transfer RNA, 65 nt
Filed under: Remiarctus bertholdii
Lineage: Eukaryota; Metazoa; Arthropoda; Malacostraca; Decapoda; Scyllaridae
Description: tRNA-Ala
Source: RNAcentral
AAAGUUAUAGUCUAAUUUAUGAUUCAUGAUUUGCACUCAUGAGAUGUUUUACUAAACUAACUUUA